GCCACAUCAUCACUGGAAAAAGUGUCAUGUGGCACCUUAAAAAAAAUCCCAUCUCUCCAUCUUCUCAAACAAACCGUUCUUCCUGAGCUCCCCUUCCAGAAACUCAAUCCUUCCAAGUUCCAAUCCAUUGGACUCCCACAUUUGUAGUUUAUGCCACCUCCAUUUAUACCCUUCCUACUUAAACAGAUCAUAUGAAAUUCGACCCUCGAAUCGGAUCUGUAGUGUCAGUUGCUUGGAGAAGCUAGAACAGAUUGGCGAGAGGACUUACAGAACAUAGUAGCUGGGGUUUUCAAAUUCAUAUGGUUGGCUUUCAUUUUGGAGUCAAGUUACAUGGCUAAGUUACAUGGCUAAGGAAAUCAAACUUGUGAAAUCGUGGCACUGAAAAGAUCUGUAAAAAAAAAAGGAAAAGAAGGGGAUUCCGAUAACAGCAAUGACGUGGUAAGAUGAAUUGGUGGAGCUAAUGUUGAAAGCCAACACAGGUAUAUACUUUCCCCAAUCGAACCUUCAUACUGCUUGUAUUAUUAUUUUUUGGCGUGUGUUCUGCAAUUGACAUGUUCUUUUCAUCCCUUAAGGUUCGUUGGUGCUUAUUGUUAUAACCUUAAGGAAUAAAGGCCAAAAUGCCAAAACGAAUAACUUCUGCUCUACAAUCAAAUGAUCAGACCCUGGUAUUGUGUAGAUCUUAUUCUUUGUUUGGUGAAGACAAAAUGAGGAUAACUCGAUUUGAUGAUGUAUUCAUUCAGCAAUUCUUUUUCGUUUUGGUUUGAGUAGUUGUCCUUCAAGUUAGUUGAAUUGUUCUUACGAUCUAAGAUACUCUGACAUUACUAUGCCUCCAGCGCUUUUCCUUCUCCUCUUACAAGAACCUAAGUGACUGAAAUUGAAAAUUCGAACACUCAGUUUUUUGGUCUUGGAUAAGAACAAAUGUAAAAAGAGGAAAUAUAGGACUGACGAGCGGUGAAUCAGUGAAAACAGAAAGUAGCUUAUUUGGAUUGGUGUUGUCUUUCACUACAAAUUGGAAAAAGAUACCUGCUACUCCGUUUUCAUUCAUUUGCAUAACUUAAUAUUUUUCUAAGAUUCAUGGGUACUCUCAAUAAUUUUUUUCCCUGACAUUUUCUUUUUAUUCUCCAUUCUUUCAAACAUUUGAAGUUUUAAUAUUCUUUGAACAAAGCUCAUGUCUGAUCUCAUGUCUGAUCUGACUCCAGUAUUUGAUGUGCAUUUGUUUUAGGUAAAAGACCGAUGUUUCUGAGUGAUUUACCUUCAGAAAAGGUUAUGUCAUGCCAAACAUCGUACCACUGGCUUUGUUCUACUAGAAAAACCUUAAGUGGGAAAUUUUUGCUUACAUUUGGUAUUUAUUGACUAUUGGAAUUUUAAUGUUUCGUAUGAGGUACUGUCACCUUUAUUGGAAGUGUACUGAAGCAGUUUACGUUGGCUUUUUUUCCGUUGUCUAGGGUUUUUUUCUGGUGUUUCUCAUGUCUAUUUAACAGGGAGGAGUGUAAUCAUGCUGUAAUGCUGUUGUUGUUGCUAAUAUGUUGGGUUUUGAGAAUGGAAUAAUUCACACAUCUGAAACCGUAGCUGAUACCGUCACCUGUCAAGCUCGUGACUUGGUAGUAACAGAUAGCUGGGGUUGAGAGAAAAGAGGAAAUGAAACAGUGUGAUGCAAGUAGUCUCUGUAAUAGGGAAAAAGCUCAUGCCGACUCUACAGAUGUUGGUGAGAACACACAUCAAUAUCGUUCAAGAAAGCAAGGACCAAAAAAUUGGAUGGUGUGGUUUUAGUUGUGGUUCAGCUUCGAUUGAUGAGAAUCUGAAGCUAUCUAACUCAUAUUUGUGUGGUGUCUUGGACAAGUGUUUGAUACAUUUGUUGCAGCGAAAACACAAUGAAUUUCUUCAAGGAAGCAUCUGCCUUGGUUGCAUAUUAUCCUGCUUAACUCAGGUAGACUUUCGUGGUUGCUAUAACUUCUGCUUUAGGCGAGGUUUUCACAAGAAUAGAGAACCAGAAAGGAAUGCGUACACAAGUUGGUUGUUUUGCUUUACUUUGAGAGAAAUGUAUGUUAAUAAUUCAUUUAGUUAUAUAUUCGCAAUUCUAUCACAAAUAUUUUAUAAUAAAAUAUCAUAUAUAAUAUAUUUUUUUUUCGUUUAUGUAAACAUCCGUGCAUAGCGCGGACACUUUAAUAAUAAA
Long non-coding RNA from Eutrema salsugineum, 2173 nucleotides. RefSeq lists it as uncharacterized. The transcript is spliced from 4 exons. The record is from RefSeq and is a predicted model, not a curated record. NCBI's taxonomy places the organism in Eukaryota, Viridiplantae, Streptophyta, Magnoliopsida, Brassicales, Brassicaceae.